UACGGAGGGUGCGAGCGUUGUCCGGAAUCACUGGGCGUAAAGGGCGCGUAGGCGGCUCAUGACGUCUGUGGUGAAAGUCCGGGGCUCAACCUCGGAUCGGCCGUGGCGACUCGUGGGCUGGAGCACUGUAGAGGCGGGUGGAAUUCCGGGUGUAGCGGUGGAAUGCGUAGAGAUCCGGAAGAACACCAGUGGCGAAGGCGGCCCGCUGGGCAGUGGCUGACGCUGAAGCGCGACAGCGUGGGGAGCAAACAGG
Molecule: ribosomal RNA, 253 nt
Filed under: uncultured bacterium
Lineage: Bacteria
Description: partial 16S ribosomal RNA
Rfam family: Bacterial small subunit ribosomal RNA
Source: RNAcentral